Molecule: ribosomal RNA, 204 nt
Filed under: uncultured fungus
Lineage: Eukaryota; Fungi
Description: partial 28S ribosomal RNA
Rfam family: Eukaryotic large subunit ribosomal RNA
Source: RNAcentral
UUGCCCUAGUAACGGCGAGUGAAGCGGCAACAGCUCAAAUUUGAAAUCUGGCUCUUUCAGAGUCCGAGUUGUAAUUUGCAGAGGGUGCUUUGGCGUUGACUGCGGUCCAAGUUCCUUGGAACAGGACGUCACAGAGGGUGAGAAUCCCGUAUGUGGUCGCUGGCCUUCGCCGUGUAAAGCCCCUUCGACGAGUCGAGUUGUUUG